AUCUCUUGACUUUCACGCAUUGUGCGCUCUGUAUGCUGUUACUGAUGUUGCACUUGUUACUUCUCUUAGAGAUGGAAUGAAUCUUGUGAGUUAUGAGUUUGUUGCUUGCCAAGCAUCCAAGAAAGGAGUCCUCAUUCUGAGUGAGUGAACUUAAUGAUACUAUUGUGGAAGCUCAACUGAGGACUAGGCAAGUUUCACCUCUACUUCCUAUGAAAGAAGCCGUUGAUCACUAUUUGGAAUCCAAUAAUAGAUUGCUUAUACUGAUGGAAUAACAAAUAUACUGGUAGAAAUGAAUGUUAUAGCACCACAUGCUUUUGUUUCAUAAGUUUGGUUUACCCACAUCGUGAAAAUAUUGUGGGUAAUCAACCAACUUAUGAAGAGUUAGU
Molecule: long non-coding RNA, 386 nt
Organism: Humulus lupulus (European hop)
Lineage: Eukaryota; Viridiplantae; Streptophyta; Magnoliopsida; Rosales; Cannabaceae
Exons: 4
Source: RefSeq, a predicted model, not a curated record